RNAcentral lists this long non-coding RNA (1159 nucleotides) under Zonotrichia albicollis (white-throated sparrow). Its description in RNAcentral is "lncRNA (ENSZALG00000001718.1)". The record is from RNAcentral. Lineage: Eukaryota; Metazoa; Chordata; Aves; Passeriformes; Passerellidae.
AUGAGGGGUCACAAUCCUUGCUUGUGGUCNUUCCACAGAAACCCUCCAGAUAUUACCUGGAAUCCCUCCUCACUCCCAGAUUCCCAAGGUUUUGGAGAUCCCAGAUUCCACAGAAACCCUCCAGACCUUACCUGGAAUCUUUCCUCACUCCCAGAUUCCAGAGGGGUUUUGGAGUGCCCAAAUUCCACAGAUCUUUCCUCACUCCCAGAUUCCAGAGAGGUUUUGGAGAUCCCAGAUUCCACAGAAACCUCCAGACCUUACCUGGAAUCUUUCCUCACUCCCAGAUUCCAGAGGGGUUUUGGAGAGCCCAAAUUCCACAAAAACCCUCCAGACCUUACCUGGAAUCUUUCCUCACUCCCAGAUUCCAGAGGUUUUGGAGUGCCCAAAUUCCACAGAAACCCUCCAGACCUUCCCUGGAAUCUUUCUUCACUCCCAGAUUCCAGAGGGGUUUUGGAGAUCCCAAAUUCCACAGAUCUUUCCUCACUCCCAGAUUCCAGAGAGGUUUUGGAGAGCCCAAAUUCCAGAGAAACCCUCCAGACAUUACCUGGAAUCUCUCCUCACUCCCUGAGUAAUGCAGCCCGAAUUCCAGAGGUUUUGGAGAGCCCAAAUUCCACAGAAACCCUCCAGACCUUACCUGGAAUAUUUCUUCACUCCCAAAUUGCAGAGGUUUUGGAGAUCCCAAAUUCCACAGAUCUUUCCUCACUCCCAGAUUCCAGAGAGGUUUUGGAGAGCCCAAAUUCCACAGAAACCUCCAGACCUUACCUGGAAUCUUUCUUCACUCCCAGAUUCCAGAUUCCACAGAAACCUCCAGACCUUACCUGGAAUCCCUCCUCACUCCCUGAGCAAUGCAGCCCGAAUUCCAGAGGUUUUGGAGAUCCUAAAUUCCACAGAUCUUUCCUCACUCCCAGAUCCCAGAGAGGUUUUGGAGAGCCCAGAUUCCACAGAAACCCUCCAGACCUUCCCUGGAAUCUUUCCUCACUCCCAGAUUCCAGAGAGGUUUUGGAGAGCCCAAAUUCCAGAGAAAUCCUCCAGAUCUUACCUGGAAUCUCUCCUCACUCCCUGAGCAAUGCAGCCCGAAUUCCAGAGGUUUUGGAGAUCCCAGAUUCCACAGAAACCCUCCAGAUAUUACCUGGAAUCCCUCCUCACUCCCAGAUUCCCA